RNAcentral lists this small RNA (119 nucleotides) under Salmonella enterica subsp. enterica serovar Infantis. RNAcentral's name for it is "RtT sRNA". It matches the Rfam family "RtT RNA". Rfam says of the family: This family represents a bacterial cis-regulatory element known as RtT RNA. The exact function of RtT is unknown although it is thought that it may be involved in changing the cellular response in relation to amino acid starvation. RNAcentral also lists the same sequence under 18 other names. The record is from RNAcentral. Lineage: Bacteria; Pseudomonadati; Pseudomonadota; Gammaproteobacteria; Enterobacterales; Enterobacteriaceae.
GGGGAAGGGUGAGAACCUUCGAUUAAGGUUCGACUCGAGCGAAAGCGAGAGAACGUUGCCAACGGCAACGGCCCGUAGGGUGAGGAGCGAAGCGACGAAUAAUCCUUCCCCCACCACCA